This 80-nucleotide transfer RNA is filed under the name Pseudoruegeria sp. M32A2M. Its description in RNAcentral is "tRNA-Met". Lineage: Bacteria; Pseudomonadati; Pseudomonadota; Alphaproteobacteria; Rhodobacterales; Roseobacteraceae. The record is from RNAcentral.
AGCGGCGACGGUAGUGGUAGCUCUCAAUACUCUGGCUCAUAACCUGAAGGUCGUAGGUUCAAAUCCUACCCCCGCAACCA